AGUGGUACCCCCAGUCCUCCUGCUCUCGCCAGACUGGGACCAGCAGUGGAGUGAAUAUUCAGGAAAAACACUGGUUUAGUGUUGAACUACUAACAGUGAAAAUGCAAGUCAUAAUUAUUGAGAGGCAGCAGUCUGACCAGGAUCUUGAGGGAGAGACAGCAGGUCAGGACACCACCCUGAGGGUCACCCUCCGCCACCCCAACAAAAGGAAGGAGAUCCCCUCUCCACCUGGACCAGGGUUAUCAGUAGCUCUUCGUCAUCCUCCUCUUCCUCACAGGCUCCAGCAGGCAGAGAAGAGGAGGAGGAAGGCAGUCGGGACAGCCUGUCCGUCUCCCCGAGAGUGUGUCAAUCCCAGAUUGGACCGAUCACAUCCCUGCAGGAUCGAUGAAGACCAGCAUCACCUGUGAGGGAAACCCAGUGAAGGAGAGACUCACCUGCUCUACACUCACCUGCCUGGCUGAUGGGGGGGUCCCCUGUCCCCCUGUCCUCUACCUGCAGGUCUGGAGGCACCCUCUCCAGUCCUGGCUGCCUGGUCCCAUUUCCUAUCAUCAGGGGGAGCAGCCCCCACAUUCCCAGUCCCUCCUGACCUGUCCUGGAGCUUCCCAAACCCAGUUUGCAAUUGUGUAGGACUCUGUGUGUGUUUGUGUGUAGGUGGAGCAGGGUUGGGGUGGCGCCUGUCUGUCUCUCAGUGUGUGAGUCAGCAUCGACUCCUGACCCAAGACUCAGCUCCCACAGCGAAUCCCAGAGUCCAGGCCAGGACUGGGAGCAGACCGGUCAGGGGCGAGUUCAGGAGAUCCACUUCAGACCUCUGCUGGCUCUCUUCCUGAAGAGCUUCCUGAGAACCUGCUGGAAGGCCCCUCUGAGACACCCGUCCACAAACACGACCACAUGAGCCCACAGACAGUCCUCACCAGCCCACUGCCUGCAGGUGCACCCCCAUCCAUCACUAGAACCCCAACCUGCCCUGGUCACUCCACACUCGCCAUUUCACACCGACGUCUCGCACAAUAACCGACAUUCGUGCAAAACUCCACCUGGUGUACAGAAAACACUGGUUCUGACUGAAAAUCAUUGAUAUCUUGCUAGCAAACAUACUCCACUAUAUUGCAAAGGAUGAGAUUUUCCUAUAAAGUAUUAAGAAACAACACACAUCUACAGCCUAGGUGUUGAUUUAUAAGAGAAGCCUGUAAAACAAACCAGCAGGACUCAGUUUUCAGGGAGAAGCUGUGGAGUGAAAAUGACUCAAGACAGAAACAGAACUGAGAACAGUCCCUCUGUCUCAGCUACACUCUCUCUGACUCACUCAUGUUAAUGUGUAUCAGAAAAACCUGUUUUUUUGAGAGGGUGUAAUGUAGCGACCUCUGAAUACAUGUUUUUUCUUUAACAGUGAAGGAAUUUACAAACAACACAAAGUAAAAAUCUACUGCUUUCAUCUUCCGGAUGUUUUUAUAUCAUGAGCUAUUCGCAUUAUGCCAGCACGGAUAACACCAAUACGGUCUUUGAAAGAAAUAAUGUCACAGACCUGUUUUAUUGAUGACUUUAAGAGCAGCUGUGUGCAUCUUCCGCUAUUUAAUGUUUUGUUUGUUUUUCCAGCAGUGAAACUAUUUUGUAAUAAACGAGUCAACAGUGCAACGUUAACAAAAACACUUCAGAUAGAAACUGCACAACGGGUGAAUAAUAUAUAUACAUACACCAGCUAAACCACAACACAACCUGAACUUUCCAGAACUGUGCUUUGUAACCAAUCAGCAAAAAGCAAAUGAUCCUUUUUUUCCCCAUUACAAAUAUUCACCUCGCGUUGAGAACAGUUUAAAAGACGACGAAGCACGGUGAUAAUUUAUCGUUUUUCCAGCAAAACGCAAUGACAAAAGCAAAUGUUUGUGAAGUUACAUAACUUUUUCCCCUUACCUUGGAGAAAAACGCUUUUUAUUGCAGUAAAAGUGAAGCACCCGGUCAAGUUCAGGCCUUUUGUAAUGAUGACUUUAAGAGCAGCUAGGGGCAUCUGUUGCUAAUUAAUGCUGCACACAAAUAGUUUCUAUUAUAAGGGCAUUGCGUGGUUUUUGUGGGUGGGUGUUGUUAUAUCCAGGGUUGAAAAUGUCAUUUUACAUAACAAAGAUACUUUAAUUGUAGCAUGUAAUUAUCUUUGAACGGUAAUAUUAAAGCCCUAGUCUAUCCAAGACAUAAAAAUGUAAACUGAACCAAAAAAAACGGAUGUUGUUUAUAACACGGACCCAAGCUCAAACAUCAGAAAGUGCCCAUCCCUUUGUCAAGAAGUACAGACACACACUGCACAGCACAUAGUACACACAUCCGACAACACGUGUGUAUUUGCUGACAACGCUGCACUUCUCAGUUUCCAAAUAAAUUAACUGUUUUGC
This 2378-nucleotide long non-coding RNA is filed under the name Lepisosteus oculatus (spotted gar). RNAcentral describes it as "lncRNA (ENSLOCG00000022965.1)". Lineage: Eukaryota; Metazoa; Chordata; Actinopteri; Semionotiformes; Lepisosteidae. The record is from RNAcentral.